This 373-nucleotide ribosomal RNA is filed under the name uncultured bacterium. RNAcentral describes it as "bacterial SSU rRNA". It matches the Rfam family "Bacterial small subunit ribosomal RNA", at positions 521 to 896 of the family's 1533-position model. The record is from RNAcentral.
UAAUACGGAGGGUGCAAGCGUUAUCCGGAUUCACUGGGUUUAAAGGGUGCGUAGGAGGGCAGGUAAGUCAGUGGUGAAAUCUCCGAGCUUAACUUGGAAACUGCCGUUGAUACUAUCUGUCUUGAAUAUUGUGGAGGUGAGCGGAAUAUGUCAUGUAGCGGUGAAAUGCUUAGAUAUGACAUAGAACACCAAUUGCGAAGGCAGCUCGCUACACAUAUAUUGACUCUGAGGCACGAAAGCGUGGGGAUCAAACAGGAUUAGAUACCCUGGUAGUCCACGCCCUAAACGAUGGAUACUCGACAUACGCGAUACACAGUGUGUGUCUGAGCGAAAGCAUUAAGUAUCCCACCUGGGAAGUACGACCGCAAGGUUG